This 497-nucleotide ribosomal RNA is filed under the name uncultured bacterium. RNAcentral's name for it is "partial 16S ribosomal RNA". It matches the Rfam family "Bacterial small subunit ribosomal RNA", at positions 28 to 507 of the family's 1533-position model. The record is from RNAcentral.
GAUGAACGCUGGCGGCGUGCCUAAUACAUGCAAGUCGAGCGAACGGACGAGAAGCUUGCUUCUCUGAUGUUAGCGGCGGACGGGUGAGUAACACGUGGAUAACCUACCUAUAAGACUGGGAGAACUUCGGGAAACCGUAGCUAAUACCGGAUAAUAUUUUGAACCGCAUGGUUCAAAAGUGAAAGACAGUCUUGCUGUCACUUAUAGAUGGAUCCGCGAUGCAUUAGCUAGUUGGUAAGGUAACGGCUUACCAAGGCAACGAUGCAUAGCCGAACUGAGAGGGUGAUCAGCCACACUGGAACUGAAACACGCUCCAGACUCCUACGGGAGGCAGCAGUAGGGAAUAUUCCGCAAAGGGCGAAAGCCUGACGAAGCAACGCCACGUCGGUGACGAAGGUCUUCGGAUCGUAAAACUCUGUUAGUAGGGAAGAACAUAUGGGUAAGAAACUGUGCACAUCUUGACGGUACCUAAUCAGAAAGCCACGGCUAACUACGUG